This 3994-nucleotide long non-coding RNA is filed under the name Pomacea canaliculata. RNAcentral's name for it is "uncharacterized LOC112570766, transcript variant X1". The record is from RNAcentral. Lineage: Eukaryota; Metazoa; Mollusca; Gastropoda; Architaenioglossa; Ampullariidae.
GAGACCUAGUCACGGACACCUGGUGCUGGGAAUCAAUCAAAGUCCCACCAGUCCCUCCAUCAGCCAAUCUCAAUAAUCGCCUGACUCCCACACUGCCCUCCCCUGCUGUAAUGCUGCGGCUGUUUGUGCUCGGGUCCUUCAUCACAACCCCGGUUGUAGCACCCACACUCGUCAACAGUUCUAGUUGUCAGGUUCUGCUCGGGUCCUUCAUCACAACCCUGGUUGCAGCAUCCACACCCGUCAACAGUUGAAGUCGUCCAUGUGUAGGUAGGUUCGUGCUCACCCAGUCCUGCAUCUUCUGUCUCCAUUUAAUUGCGUCGGACCUCUGUUUGUGUGACCUGAGGUUGUGAGAGGCGGAUGCCGGGAAAGAACCAAUAAGUUUGCCUUUCAUCGAUUUCAUUGCUGCGAUUCUUCCCACGUCCUCAGAGCACGUGCGGUCACGUGACCACACUAGUUAGUCUCCCGAGCGCUUGAAGACGUCUGUCAACAUGACGAGGUUUUGUCUGCGCUCCCUGAGCCUGGCCGUUCUCUGUCUGCUGAUCUGCAUUUCGGGUCAAAGAGCAAAGGGUCAGGACACGAACUCCACUGCAAGCAGCGAUCCAGCACCAAACAAUCAGACCGCAGACGACACCACGUCAGCUUCCGACACCGGGGUGGAUGGCACUACCACUGCUGGCCCUAUUUCAGACAGCCCGAUGAAUGACACCACCGCUACCGAACCCAUUGCCUCACCUGAACAGGGUGGUGCUGUACCCGAUAACACCACCUCUGAGACCAGUGCACCAGACGCACCACCAGCGGGUGACACGGGCUCAGCGUCAAACUUCAGCACAUCCAGAGGUGCCGACAGAAGCGACCACAGAAUCUCCACCACCGACGAGCGACGAUAAAGGAAACUCAACAUCGUCUGCAGAGCCUCCAACGGUCGAUGCCGUCACGAACGAGGCUGCGGCCCCUGAAAACGUGACGACGUCACCCACUGAGAGUGUGACGUCACAGGAGACGACUAGCGAACCCGCUGAGACAACAGGUGCCACAGAAACAACGGAAGUCAGCGAGCAGACGACAAGUACAGCGACCACUCAGUCCACAGGCGCCACCACCUCAGCCUCACAGGAUGAAGCGGCAGAAGCGGAGGCAGUCUUCGUCAUCAAGGACGAGAAUGACAAACCUUGUCUUCUGGCCAGCCUUGACUUCACCAUUCGUGUCUUGUACAUCGGAUCAGCAGGGCCAGAACCAGACAUAUGAAGCAUCGCUACCAGACCCUAAGGACGUGACGGUCGCCGGUUCUUGCGGCAAAAGCUCCUCCAGCCUGCAGCUGGCCUGGAACAACACCACCUUCGCUCUCAACCUCGCUUUCGUCCUGUCGGGCCCAGGGAACCGUAGCUCGGGAAGAUGAUGCAUCGCCUGAAGUGACUGAGAACACGAACUACACAUGGAGCUUGAGUGAGAUCUCGCUGACCUAUGACACGUCCGAAGUCAGCGUCUUCCCGGGGGCGUCAGAUCGCAAGGUGCAGACAGCCACUGUCCGGGACUUGAACCUGUUCUCCACACCACUGGGGCAGUCGUACGUGUGCCACGAAGCUCAGCUGCUGUCCAUGGAGCUGCAGGGCGCUCGCCUCGAGUUCAACUGGGUGCACCUCAUGCCGUUUGGGGUCAACGGAACCCGCUUCAGCGCUGAGGCAGAAAACUGUCAGGCGGGUGGUGCAAGCGAGUCGGCGCCAGGUCAGCAAGAUGCCUACCUCAUACCUCUCAUCGUCGCCUGCAGCCUCGCUGCCCUCGUUGUCAUCAUCGUCCUGGGCUACGCCAUCAGUCGCUGCGUCACAAGGCAUCAGCGCCAGUCAGAGUACAAACAAAUGCCAUAGAAUACAAGACAUUACUCAGAAUACAAACAAAUGCCGUAGAAUACAAGACAUUAGUCAGAGUACAAACAAAUGCCAUAGAAUACAAGACAUUAGUCAGAGUACAAACAAAUGCCAUAGAAUACAAGACAUUAGUCAGAGUACAAACAAAUGCCAUAGAAUACAAGACAUUAGUCAGAGUACAAACAAAUGCCGUAGAAUACAAGACAUUAGUCAGAGUACAAACAAAUGCCAUAGAAUACAAGACAUUAGUCAGAGUACAAACAAAUGCCGUAGAAUACAAGACAUUAGUCAGAGUACAAACAAAUGCCGUAGAAUACAAGACAUUAGUCAGAGUACAAACAAAUGCCGUAGAAUACAAGACAUUACUCAGAAUACAAACAAAUGCCGUAGAAUACAAGACAUUACUCAGAAUACAAACAAAUGCCAUAGAGGGCAAGGAAUCGAUCAAAAUGCCGUAGAAUGAAACAGUACACCAAGUAAGACCAGCCAUUAAUGAAGAUGCCACAAAGAUGCUCAUAGAGGAAUAAAAUAAGAAACAACAAACUUGUGGAAAUCAAGCCGACAUCCCAUAAUGCACACUUCGUUCACUGACUCUAUGAGAUAAGCAAAAGAGAAAGUCGAAAUACUACAGGCAGAUUGUGGAGACAUGGAUUAUGCAUCAGGUGGAUUAGAAUAUACAGUUAACAUAUUACCUGUUAGGUGACAUUUCCACUGUUGUUACUUUCUGCUUGUAGCUGUAUAUACGAGGUAUUAGAGGGAGCAGAGUUAUGAGUUACUUUCUUGUCAUUCAUUUUUUUAUUGAUACUUCUAGAACAGUUGAUUUUUAACCUAGGUUUCUUCGAGGUAGCAAGAGCAACAUGUCAUUAAUUUUAAAUUCUGAAACCUCUGAAGUUGUCAUCAUUCUUGUCCCUCUGUCGCCCACCCAUCCACCUCUCGGACACCCACCCACGUAUGUCCAUCGUUAGACGAUCUGCUGCGUAACCCAGACUUCGCAAUUCGUCUUCAGACUUCAUGGUGUCUGCUUCUCCACUCAUGCAAUCAUUGACCACUGACAUAUAAUACCCCAUCAUUUCGGGAAGAUUCCUAGGUCCCUCGCUACGACAAUUGAUAUCCCAACUGCCAAAUGAUUAAGACAUGAAAACGCAAAUCUCAUAGAAAUUGUAUUCGAAAUUCCUUAAAAUUUUGAUUGAAGCUAGAAGUGAUAAAUGUUCGGCUAAGAAUGCAGAAACCCAUGUGCACAACAUAUUUGUGUUAAGAGAGAGGAAAGUUUCAAAGUGGUUGAAAUCAGUCUUUGAAGUCGCGCACCAAAAGUAAGUUAUUUAGACAUAUUACUUUCUAAAGUAAGUUAUUUAGACAUACUCACCGUAUAGACGACAACACCACCACCAACAACAACCAAACGACAGCUCAGCAGCAGGACUGCGAGAUAAUGUUGUUACAAGUGCGACUCCUGUCUAGAGGAAAGAUGUCCACAUGUAUCAGGUUGAUACUUUUUUUUAAAGACUUUACAGACUGACCGACGGUGUGACUGAUGUUACCUGUCAUCUGUCAACGAGUACAUUUGCUCCCAUCUUCUUGUUCCUCAUCUACCCCAGUGGAGCAUAGAGCAACAAGACAUUUGCUCCCAUGCAACACCCUGUAUCAUGCAGCCAGUGAGGAACCCAUCCAGUCUUAUUUCACUUGACCUGUUCAAGAAAAAAAUCCACUUCUUGGUUGCUGUUAUUCACACACCUUUGGAUAUCACAGACACUUAAAUAUGGAGAGCGUCAGCUUGAGCAGGUUCAAUGUUUUGCCAUAAAUACAUUUCCACGCAUGUGCCAACUGUUCAUAUUCUACAUUGUACUAUGUACAGUUCUGUUUGUCUUUAUGCUUGCUGCACAAAUAAAUCUUGGCGUGUUUAUCGAGGCCAAAUAUCUUAUUAACUUAAUAGUGUAGUGUAGUACUUAGUGCAGACUCAGCCAUUUCUCUCCUUGUACUCUGUCUUUGAUUUAAAGAACACUUUGACAACUUGUUCAUUUUCCGUUGUAAUGAGAAGAAUUGUACAUGGGUUGUGGUGAAUGUUGACAAAUUUUGUGAAUAUUUUGUAUACUUCGUUGAUGACUUCUUGAAUAAAAUUUAUGAAGUAUUCA